This 73-nucleotide transfer RNA is filed under the name Paramuricea clavata. It matches the Rfam family "tRNA". Rfam says of the family: Transfer RNA (tRNA) molecules are approximately 80 nucleotides in length. The record is from Rfam by way of RNAcentral. Lineage: Eukaryota; Metazoa; Cnidaria; Anthozoa; Malacalcyonacea; Plexauridae.
GUUCUCGUAGUGUAGUGGUUAUCACAUCCGCUUUACACGCGGAAGGUCCCAGGUUCGAACCCUGGCGGGAACA